UCUAAGUACCCCGAGGAAAAGAAAUCAACCGAGAUUCCCCCAGUAGCGGCGAGCGAACGGGGAGCAGCCCAGAGCCUGAAUCAGUGUGUGUGUUAGUGGAAGCGUCUGGAAAGGCGCGCGAUACAGGGUGACAGCCCCGUACACAAAAAUGCACAUGCUGUGAGCUCGAUGAGUAGGGCGGGACACGUGGUAUCCUGUCUGAAUAUGGGGGGACCAUCCUCCAAGGCUAAAUACUCCUGACUGACCGAUAGUGAACCAGUACCGUGAGGGAAAGGCGAAAAGAACCCCGGCGAGGGGAGUGAAAAAGAACCUGAAACCGUGUACGUACAAGCAGUGGGAGCACGCUUAGGCGUGUGACUGCGUACCUUUUGUAUAAUGGGUCAGCGACUUAUAUUCUGUAGCAAGGUUAACCGAAUAGGGGAGCCGAAGGGAAACCGAGUCUUAACUGGGCGUUAAGUUGCAGGGUAUAGACCCGAAACCCGGUGAUCUAGCCAUGGGCAGGUUGAAGGUUGGGUAACACUAACUGGAGGACCGAACCGACUAAUGUUGAAAAAUUAGCGGAUGACUUGUGGCUGGGGGUGAAAGGCCAAUCAAACCGGGAGAUAGCUGGUUCUCCCCGAAAGCUAUUUAGGUAGCGCCUCGUGAAUUCAUCUCCGGGGGUAGAGCACUGUUUCGGCAAGGGGGUCAUCCCGACUUACCAACCCGAUGCAAACUGCGAAUACCGGAGAAUGUUAUCACGGGAGACACACGGCGGGUGCUAACGUCCGUCGUGAAGAGGGAAACAACCCAGACCGCCAGCUAAGGUCCCAAAGUCAUGGUUAAGUGGGAAACGAUGUGGGAAGGCCCAGACAGCCAGGAUGUUGGCUUAGAAGCAGCCAUCAUUUAAAGAAAGCGUAAUAGCUCACUGGUCGAGUCGGCCUGCGCGGAAGAUGUAACGGGGCUAAACCAUGCACCGAAGCUGCGGCAGCGACGCUUAUGCGUUGUUGGGUAGGGGAGCGUUCUGUAAGCCUGUGAAGGUGUGCUGUGAGGCAUGCUGGAGGUAUCAGAAGUGCGAAUGCUGACAUAAGUAACGAUAAAGCGGGUGAAAAGCCCGCUCGCCGGAAGACCAAGGGUUCCUGUCCAACGUUAAUCGGGGCAGGGUGAGUCGACCCCUAAGGCGAGGCCGAAAGGCGUAGUCGAUGGGAAACAGGUUAAUAUUCCUGUACUUGGUGUUACUGCGAAGGGGGGACGGAGAAGGCUAUGUUGGCCGGGCGACGGUUGUCCCGGUUUAAGCGUGUAGGCUGGUUUUCCAGGCAAAUCCGGAAAAUCAAGGCUGAGGCGUGAUGACGAGGCACUACGGUGCUGAAGCAACAAAUGCCCUGCUUCCAGGAAAAGCCUCUAAGCAUCAGGUAACAUCAAAUCGUACCCCAAACCGACACAGGUGGUCAGGUAGAGAAUACCAAGGCGCUUGAGAGAACUCGGGUGAAGGAACUAGGCAAAAUGGUGCCGUAACUUCGGGAGAAGGCACGCUGAUAUGUAGGUGAAGUCCCUCGCGGAUGGAGCUGAAAUCAGUCGAAGAUACCAGCUGGCUGCAACUGUUUAUUAAAAACACAGCACUGUGCAAACACGAAAGUGGACGUAUACGGUGUGACGCCUGCCCGGUGCCGGAAGGUUAAUUGAUGGGGUCAGCGCAAGCGAAGCUCUUGAUCGAAGCCCCGGUAAACGGCGGCCGUAACUAUAACGGUCCUAAGGUAGCGAAAUUCCUUGUCGGGUAAGUUCCGACCUGCACGAAUGG
This 1774-nucleotide ribosomal RNA is filed under the name human gut metagenome. RNAcentral describes it as "bacterial LSU rRNA". It matches the Rfam family "Bacterial large subunit ribosomal RNA", at positions 201 to 1999 of the family's 2925-position model. The record is from RNAcentral.